GUGCCAGCAGCCGCGGUAAUACGGAGGGGGCUAGCGUUGUUCGGAAUUACUGGGCGUAAAGGGCGCGUAGGCGGGCGAUCAAGUCAGGGGUGAAAGGCCUGGGCUCAACCUGGGAACUGCCUUUGAAACUGAUUGUCUAGAGUCCGGAAGAGGAUGGCGGAAUUCCCAGUGUAGAGGUGAAAUUCGUAGAUAUUGGGAAGAACACCAGUGGCGAAGGCGGCCAUCUGGUCCGGUACUGACGCUGAGGCGCGAAAGCGUGGGGAGCAAACAGGAUUAGAUACCCUGGUAGUCCACGCCGUAAACGAUGUGUGCUAGCCGUUGGGGAACCUAGUUUCUCGGUGGCGCAGCUAACGCGUUAAGCACACCGCCUGGGGAGUACGGUCGCAAGAUUAAAACUCAAAUGAAUUGACGG
RNAcentral lists this ribosomal RNA (412 nucleotides) under uncultured bacterium. RNAcentral's name for it is "bacterial SSU rRNA". It matches the Rfam family "Bacterial small subunit ribosomal RNA", at positions 505 to 916 of the family's 1533-position model. The record is from RNAcentral.